AGAGAGAAAAAGAUAUUUAAAAAGGAAAUAGAAGGAUCAAGCACUUUCCCUCAGAGAGAAAGGGAGCUCUUUUCUCCUGUCAGGAGAUUUUCCUGACCCAAUGUCCCCACUGCUGCCUGACCCUAGGAAUUUCUUCCCCUGGGGGAUUCUUCUCCUCUGUGAUAACAAGCUAGGAUGAAAAGGCUUCCACAGUAGUGCCCAGACAUUUUAAAGUGGAAGAGGUG
This 224-nucleotide long non-coding RNA is filed under the name Monodelphis domestica (gray short-tailed opossum). RNAcentral describes it as "lncRNA (ENSMODG00000039766.1)". The record is from RNAcentral. Lineage: Eukaryota; Metazoa; Chordata; Mammalia; Didelphimorphia; Didelphidae.